This 204-nucleotide long non-coding RNA is filed under the name Homo sapiens (human). Its description in RNAcentral is "HSALNT0208370". The record is from RNAcentral. Lineage: Eukaryota; Metazoa; Chordata; Mammalia; Primates; Hominidae.
AUUGUCUUGGCUAUAUGUAGGGAAAAGAAAGAGAGAUCAGACUGUUACUGUGUCUAUGUAGAAAAGGAAGACAUAAGAAACUCCAUUUUGACCUGUACCCUGAACAAUUGCUUUGCCCUGAGAUGCUGUUAAUCUGUAACUUUAGCCCCGACCUUGAGCUCACAGAAACAUGUGUUUUAUGGAACCAAGGUUUAAGGGAUCUAG